GGAGUACCUCCUUUACCAGGCAUGAAGCUGGGCACUGAAGAUUUAGAUUCCUGACAUAUGACCUUGCCCACAGGAAGCUUGCAGUAAAGGUGCUCAACAAAUGGAAGCCCGAGUUCUCCAUAAGUUCUUCAGAGGAUAAUUUUCAGGAUUCUGGCAACCAAAGAUGACAUGAUUCUUUAUAUGGAAAACCCAAAAAACUCCACCCCCAAACUACUAGAACUCAUACAACAAUUCAGCAACGUGGCUGGAUACAAAGUCAAUGUACAGAAAUCAGUGGCUUUCUUAUACACUAACAAUGAAAAUACAGAAAGGGAAAUUAGACAAUCGAUUCCAUUUACUAUAGCACCAAGAACCAUUAGAUACCUGGGAAUAAACCUAACCAAAGAGGUAAAGGAUCUGUACUCGAGGAACUACAGAACACUCAUGAAAGAAAUUGAAGAAGACACAAAAAGACGGAAGACCAUUCCAUGCUCUUGGAUCGGAAGAAUAAACAUUGUUAAAAUGUCUAUACUGCCUAGAGCAAUCUAUACUUUUAAUGCUAUUCUGAUCAAAAUUCCACCAGUAUUCUUCAAAGAGCUGGAGCAAAUAAUCCUAAAAUUUGUAUGGAAUCAGAAGAGACGAGACCCCUGAAUCGCUAAGGAAAUGUUGAAAAACAAAAAUAAAAUGGGGGGCAUCACGUUACCUGAUUUCAAGCUUUAUUACAAAGCUGUGAUCACCAAGACAGCAUGGUACUGGCAU
This is a long non-coding RNA of Mustela lutreola (European mink), 738 nucleotides long. RefSeq lists it as uncharacterized. The record is from RefSeq and is a predicted model, not a curated record. NCBI's taxonomy places the organism in Eukaryota, Metazoa, Chordata, Mammalia, Carnivora, Mustelidae. The transcript has 3 exons.